GGUAAAGAGUUGCCUACGCAUCGGUGUGCAUGUUACCAAUAACUGUUAGGUGAGGUGCAUGUCAUCGAUGGGACCGCAGCACCCACUAGGAAUCCUUUAUCGUGUUAGGAUUUUUGUUUCCUUCCAGGAGAGUGGAGAGAUCCAAAAAAUUAGUGAGAGUCAUUAUUUGCUUCUUAAAGUUCCUAGAAGCAAAUUAAAAAAUUAAGUAUAAAAGUCUAACUUGAAUCUCUACUCUUACAGUUAAACC
Molecule: long non-coding RNA, 247 nt
Filed under: Elaeis guineensis (African oil palm)
Lineage: Eukaryota; Viridiplantae; Streptophyta; Magnoliopsida; Arecales; Arecaceae
Description: long non-coding RNA (EGUI_LNC038257)
Source: RNAcentral